This 495-nucleotide ribosomal RNA is filed under the name uncultured bacterium. RNAcentral describes it as "partial 16S ribosomal RNA". It matches the Rfam family "Bacterial small subunit ribosomal RNA", at positions 28 to 507 of the family's 1533-position model. The record is from RNAcentral.
GAUGAACGCUGGCGGCGUGCUUAACACAUGCAAGUCGAACGAAGCACCUCUCCAGAUGAUUGACACAGCUUGCUGUAGAUUGAUUCAUUUGAGGUGACUGAGUGGCGGACGGGUGAGUAACGCGUGGGUAACCUGCCUCAUAGAGGGGGACAACAGUUGGAAACGACUGCUAAUACCGCAUAGUAAGAAGAAUUCGCAUGUUUUCUUCUUGAAAGAUUUAUCGCUAUGAGAUGGACCCGCGUCUGAUUAGCUAGUUGGUAAGGUAACGGCUUACCAAGGCGACGAUCAUUAGCCGGCUUGAGAGAGUGAACGGCCACAUUGGGACUGAGACGCGGCCCAAACUCCUACGGGAGGCAGCAGUGGGGAAUAUUGCACAAUGGGGGAAACCCUGAUGCAGCGACGCCGCGUGGGUGAAGAAGUAUUUCGGUAUGUAAAGCUCUAUCAGCAGGGAAGAUAAUGACGGUACCUGACUAAGAAGCCCCGGCUAACUACGUG